CAGUCGCCACGGUAAUACGGAGGUGGCAAGCGUUGUCCGGAAUUAUUGGGCGUAAAGGGCUCGCAGGCGGUUUUUUAAGUCUGCUGUGAAAGCCCCCGGCUCAACCGGGGAGGGUCAUUGGAAACUGGGAAACUUGAGUGCAGAAGAGGAGAGUGGAAUUCCACGUGUAGCGGUGAAAUGCGUAGAGAUGUGGAGGAACACCAGUGGCGAAGGCGACUCGCUGGUCCGUAACUGACGCUGAGGAGCGAAAGCGUGGGGAGCGAACGGGAUUAGAUACCCGUGUAGUCCCUGUCUCUUAUAC
RNAcentral lists this ribosomal RNA (301 nucleotides) under uncultured bacterium. RNAcentral's name for it is "partial 16S ribosomal RNA". It matches the Rfam family "Bacterial small subunit ribosomal RNA", at positions 509 to 807 of the family's 1533-position model. The record is from RNAcentral.